Long non-coding RNA from Helianthus annuus (common sunflower), 441 nucleotides. RefSeq lists it as uncharacterized. The record is from RefSeq and is a predicted model, not a curated record. Lineage: Eukaryota; Viridiplantae; Streptophyta; Magnoliopsida; Asterales; Asteraceae. The transcript is spliced from 3 exons.
UCGAUCAAGAAAGGGGAGCCAAGGGGGAAAACCCUAACAUCCUAAAAUCAUUCAAAUUGAAAGGGGAAUCAAAGAUUUAUCGAAUGCAUGAGCCAGGAACUUUGAUUAUCUAAGUGAAUUUGAUAUCAAGGGUAAGGAAAGAAGAAGGAACAUGUCUAUCCAAUGCACAAGAAAUGCAAGACCUCGGUAAAUCUCAUGCUUGAUUGCGGUGCACUCGGACCGAACACACAAUGACGACCUUUUGCACGCUUCCGGUUCAUGUUGUUGAUUAUGAAUGGGUCAAAGAUUUCGCUUUUUCAUAUGAUGUUAAAUUGUGUCUAGUAUGGUAGUAAGUAGUUAGGAUUUCUAAAUCUUUUGGUAUAGUUUGUACAAAAUUGUUCAUGGUGAACCUUAUGGUCAUAACUUUGUGGUUUUGAAAAGUGUCGUAGAACUUAAUUAAAA